AUUGAACGCUGGCGGCAGGCCUAACACAUGCAAGUCGAGCGGCAGCGGGAAAGUAGCUUGCUACUUUUGCCGGCGAGCGGCGGACGGGUGAGUAAUGCCUGGGGAUCUGCCCAGUCGAGGGGGAUAACUACUGGAAACGGUAGCUAAUACCGCAUACGCCCUACGGGGGAAAGCAGGGGACCUUCGGGCCUUGCGCGAUUGGAUGAACCCAGGUGGGAUUAGCUAGUUGGUGAGGUAAUGGCUCACCAAGGCGACGAUCCCUAGCUGGUCUGAGAGGAUGAUCAGCCACACGGGAACUGAGACACGGUCCAGACUCCUCCGGGAGGCAGCAGUGGGGAAUAUUGCACAAUGGGGGAAACCCUGAUGCAGCCAUGCCGCGUGUGUGAAGAAGGCCUUCGGGUUGUAAAGCACUUUCAGCGAGGAGGAAAAGUUGGUAGCUAAUAACUGCCAGCUAUGACGUUACUCGCAGAAGAAGCACCGGCUAACUCCGUGCCAGCCGCCGCCGUAA
This 508-nucleotide ribosomal RNA is filed under the name uncultured bacterium. RNAcentral describes it as "partial 16S ribosomal RNA". It matches the Rfam family "Bacterial small subunit ribosomal RNA", at positions 29 to 523 of the family's 1533-position model. The record is from RNAcentral.